GAAACAAAGCAACAGAAUCAAAGCAAGACUACAGGUAUGUUUUUGAUGAGGGAAUAACCUUAUAAUAUGAUGUGAAACUCAAAAAAGGUUGACUUUACAUGAUACUGUCCCUUUAAAUGAUCAAUAUCUGUCAAUUGUUUCAUCUCUUUAGUCUUUCCUUUCCAUUUCAAAUCAAACGGCCACUAUACUGAUGUUUCAUUUGGAACUUGACCUAAAUACAACUAGCUGAGUUGUGCUGUACUGUGGUUGUGUUGAAGGUGUGUUAGAGUCGGC
Long non-coding RNA from Poecilia latipinna (sailfin molly), 273 nucleotides. RefSeq lists it as uncharacterized. The transcript is spliced from 3 exons. The record is from RefSeq and is a predicted model, not a curated record. NCBI's taxonomy places the organism in Eukaryota, Metazoa, Chordata, Actinopteri, Cyprinodontiformes, Poeciliidae.